Molecule: ribosomal RNA, 1077 nt
Filed under: Triticum aestivum (bread wheat)
Lineage: Eukaryota; Viridiplantae; Streptophyta; Magnoliopsida; Poales; Poaceae
Description: partial small subunit ribosomal RNA
Source: RNAcentral
AUGGACCAUAUCAUGAACAAAAAAAGCCAAGUCUUCUUUCUCGAUGCUCCAGGAGGCACUGGGAAGACAUACUUGUUUAAGGCGUUGCUUGCUAAGGUGUGUUCGAUGGGUGAGAUAGCCAUUGCCACUGCUACAUCAGGUAUAGCAGCCUCGAUAUUACCUGGAGGCAUGUGUUGUUUCACAAAGCAAAGUGGUACAAUAGAAUUGCUGAAAGAGGCGGCCUUGAUAAUUUGGGAUGAAGUUGCCAUGACAAAGCGUCAAGCCGUGGAGGCGCUUGAUAGGUCACUGCAAGACAUAAUGGGAUGUUCUUUGCCGUUUGGGGGGAAGAUUGCCGUUUUUGGUGGAGAUUUUAGGCAGGUCCUUCCAGUGGUUCCAAAAGGGACAAGAGCACAAGCUAACCCUUUGUUCUCCGGGUAUCUCUUAAGGAUUGGCAAUGGAACCGAAGAAACGAUAGGUGAUGACUAUGUGCGUCUCCCUGAGGACAUUGUGAUCGGCCAUACUGAUGAUGAAACCGCAAUCAAUAGGCUAAUCAAAGAAGUUUUCCCCUCUCUUAGUGUCAAUGCUAAAUCGGGAGAGGACAUGAGCUCGCGUGCUAUUCUUUCCACGAAGAAUGACUAUGUUGAUGAGCUGAAUUCCAAGAUGAUUGACAUGUUUCAUGGGCAAGAGAAGGUGAAGGUCAAUUGCCCCGUCAUUCUGCUACGGAACCUUGACCCUCACAAUGGCCUCUGCAAUGGAACAAGGCUAAUGAUUAGAGCCUUCCAAGAUAAUGCAAUUGAUGCAGAGAUUGUUGGUGGGCAACAAGUUGGGAAGAGGGUCUUUAUACCGAGGAUCCCUUUGUCACCAUCGGAGGACAUCUCGCUUUCCUUCAAGCUUAAGAGGAAACAAUUCCCCAUCCGCCUAAGUUUUGCGAUGACCAUUAACAAGGCGCAGGGCCAGACCAUUCCAAAUGUUGGCAUUUAUCUUCCCGAGCCGGUGUUCUCCCAUGGUCAGCUGUAUAUUGCCUUGUCAGGGGUGUAUCAAGGCGGACGAUGCAAAUUUUGGCCAAGCCGAACAAACAGAUUGAUAAAUCAGGAAAAG